This 301-nucleotide long non-coding RNA is filed under the name Androctonus crassicauda. The record is from RNAcentral. Lineage: Eukaryota; Metazoa; Arthropoda; Arachnida; Scorpiones; Buthidae.
UAUUGUUCUGGAGUCGUCCCGUUUGAUGUCCGGGUCCUGUUCGUAUGUGGAUUUGGCCAAUGCUGUGGUCCACUUAGCAUUCUUGGUGUCUUGUUUGUGCUCCCUUGUCCUAUCUUUUGGAGACCGAGCGGUUGCGCCUAUGUGGACUUCAUCCCUGUUCUCUGUAUUGUUUCUGUAUGGAAUUUCGUGUGUUCCUGCUCCGGAUUGGUGGCCCUUGGGGUUCUUGUCGUUUCUCAGGGAGUGGUGCGCUGUUGGAGGUCGUUUAUAAGUAUGUUUUUUUGGGUCUCGUCUUAUUAUAUUC